CCAUUCGAUACUUUGAUCCUGUUCGGAAGAGAAGCUCCACAUUUUGUAUCAAGAUGAAGGCUGCUGUUAUUCUUGCUGUUCUUGCUGCGGUGCUGUGCGCCAGCACUGUCAACUGUGACUGCAUUUGUUCCCGCAUCCUUGACCCUGUCUGUGACACCGCCGGCAACUACUACGACAACGCGUGCCUGUUGAACUGCGUUGAGGAUGCGGUCCAGGCCGCAGAAGGCGUCUACACCGUCAGUGCCAACUCUUGCGUUGCUGCCAGGAAGUAGAUGACCUUCACCUUUGACCAAAUGGAGCUUCCCCGACCACAGAAGCACAUAUUGCUUCAGCAAUAAAAUGUAGAAGCAAA
RNAcentral lists this long non-coding RNA (352 nucleotides) under Haliotis rufescens (red abalone). RNAcentral's name for it is "uncharacterized LOC124111664". Lineage: Eukaryota; Metazoa; Mollusca; Gastropoda; Lepetellida; Haliotidae. The record is from RNAcentral.